GACGAACGCUGGCGGCGUGCUUAACACAUGCAAGUCGAACGAUGAAGGAGAGCUUGCUCUCCGGAUUAGUGGCGAACGGGUGAGUAACACGUGACUAACCUGCCCCUUUCUCUGGGAUAACGCUCCGACAGGAGUGCUAAUACCGGAUACGAACUCUGAACACAUGUUCGGAGUUGGAAAGUUUUUCGGAAAGGGAUGGAGUCGCGCCCUAUCAGCUUGUUGGUGAGGUAACGGCUCACCAAGGCGACGACGGGUAGCCGGCCUGAGAGGGCGACCGGCCACACUGGGACUGCGACACGGCCCAGACUCCUGCGGGAGGCAGCAGUGGGGAAUAAUGCACAAUGGGCGAAAGCCUGAUGCAGCGACGCCGCGUGAGGGAUGAAGGUCUUCGGAUUGUAAACCUCGCUCAGUAGGGACGAAGCGAAAGUGACGGUACCUAAAGAAGAAGCAGCGGCUAACUACGUGCCAGCAGCCGCGGUAA
This 481-nucleotide ribosomal RNA is filed under the name uncultured bacterium. RNAcentral's name for it is "partial 16S ribosomal RNA". It matches the Rfam family "Bacterial small subunit ribosomal RNA", at positions 28 to 523 of the family's 1533-position model. The record is from RNAcentral.